UGGGGAAUAUUGCACAAUGGGCGCAAGCCUGAUGCAGCCAUGCCGCGUGUGUGAAGAAGGCCUUCGGGUUGUAAAGCACUUUCAGCGAGGAGGAAGGUGGUGAACUUAAUACGUUCAUCAAUUGACGUUACUCGCAGAAGAAGCACCGGCUAACUCCGUGCCAGCAGCCGCGGUAAUACGGAGGGUGCAAGCGUUAAUCGGAAUUACUGGGCGUAAAGCGCACGCAGGCGGUUUGUUAAGUCAGAUGUGAAAUCCCCGGGCUCAACCUGGGAACUGCAUUUGAAACUGGCAAGCUAGAGUCUCGUAGAGGGGGGUAGAAUUCCAGGUGUAGCGGUGAAAUGCGUAGAGAUCUGGAGGAAUACCGGUGGCGAAGGCGGCCCCCUGGACGAAGACUGACGCUCAGGUGCGAAAGCGUGGGCAGGCAAAACAGGAUUAGAUACCCUGGUAGUCCACGCUGUAAACGAUGUCGAUUUUGGAGGUUGUGCCCUUGAGGCGUGGCUUCCGGAGCUAACGCGUUAAAUCGACCGCCUGGGGAGUACGGCCGCAAGGUUAAAACUCAAAUGAAUUG
This 568-nucleotide ribosomal RNA is filed under the name uncultured bacterium. RNAcentral describes it as "partial 16S ribosomal RNA". It matches the Rfam family "Bacterial small subunit ribosomal RNA", at positions 355 to 912 of the family's 1533-position model. The record is from RNAcentral.